RNAcentral lists this long non-coding RNA (690 nucleotides) under Helianthus annuus (common sunflower). Its description in RNAcentral is "hypothetical non coding rna". The record is from RNAcentral. Lineage: Eukaryota; Viridiplantae; Streptophyta; Magnoliopsida; Asterales; Asteraceae.
GCUUGGUUUAAUAAAAAUACGGAGAAUAGACAUGAUUCCUCAAACCAUAAUUCGUAAUAAGCAUGAAUUUGAGAUUGCUUAUGAUGGCAGAGGGAAUAGGGAUUCAUACCGCAAAGAGACCUAAUCGAUCUCUUAGAGAGAAGUGCACACUUCUCCGUGUAUCCUCCGUCUUCAAUUCUUAACCCUAGAUCUUCCGAGAGGGUUACUGACUAGAGAGUAACCACAAGUUGGGAAAAACCAUUCACGUUGGAAGCUCAACAUCGCUUAACAACCUGUUGGACCAAAAUUCUAGAAACAAAAUUGAACAAUAAAAUUGGUAUCUGAAACUCACGGGAAUCAAUACAAAGAUGAACGUUUUGAUGGAGAUACCUGUAUCUGUAAAUCAGGGAUUGAACAACCAAGAAAUAAGGUUUAUGAAGAAGAAGGUAAAGUUUUGAGAGAGAGCGAGAUGGAUUGAAAGUAUGGUUUGAAUUUUGAAUGUGGAGCCAAAAUCAUGUAUGUUUUAUAUGUAUCAGAAAGUUAUGGCUUGAAUUUUGAAUCUGGAGCCAGAAUUUUGAAUUUUGAAUGUGAUUUAUGACGCAAUAAUGACAUCAGAUAGGUAUUGUUGGAUAGCCUAACUGAUUGUCACGUCAGCAUUGUGAUGUAAUGCUCAUUUCCCCUUUUAUAGAAAGUAUAUAUAGAUAUAGAUUA